CAAAACCUUAACCUCUCGGGUCCCUUCCCGGAUCUCCUAUUCGGACUACCCGACCUCAAAUACGUCUACAUUGAACACAACAAGCUCUCGGGUCGAAUACCCAACACUAUCGGCAACUUAACCCAACUCGAAGCACUCAGCUUUUACUACAACCGGUUCACCGGUCCAAUUCCGAGUUCAAUCUCCAAGCUGACCCGGCUCACCCAGCUCAACCUUGGCGGCAACAUCUUAACCGGUUCGAUCCCAUCCGGCAUUCAAAACCUCAAGAACCUCACCCUCUUCAACCUCGAGCAAAACGGGUUGUCGGGUCCCAUCCCCGAUUUCUUCACAUCGUUUCCGGAGCUCCGAGUCCUCAGACUCUCCGGCAACUACUUUACCGGGAAAAUCCCAGCUUCAAUUUCCGCUUUGGCGCCAAAACUGGCCUACCUGGAGCUCGGCCACAACGCCCUGACCGGCCAAAUCCCUGAUUUUCUCGGCAAUUUCAAGGCCCUCGACACCCUCAACCUCUCUAGCAACAAAUUAUCCGGCGUCGUGCCUCAGAAGUUCGCGAAUCUGACCAAGAUCUUCAACCUCGAUCUUUCUCGUAAUUACCUCACCGACCCGUUUCCGGAACUGAACGUGAGAGGCAUCGAGUCCCUGGAUUUGUCGUACAACAGCUUCCAUCUGAAGCAAAUUCCAAAAUGGGUGACGUCGUCGCCGAUCAUCUACUCUCUGAAGCU
This 719-nucleotide long non-coding RNA is filed under the name Malus domestica (apple). RNAcentral describes it as "long non-coding RNA (MDOM_LNC004213)". Lineage: Eukaryota; Viridiplantae; Streptophyta; Magnoliopsida; Rosales; Rosaceae. The record is from RNAcentral.